UAUAAAAUUGCUUGUUGAUCAAAUAUUGGUAAAUAUUUAUGAUCAAUUUAUAUAAUAAGUAAAUAGUUUUAUUUUAUUUUAGUCAGAUUUAAUUAAACUUUUCAAGACUAGCAGAGCCCCCAUUGCUUCCAAAGAGGCGAGUUCUACUCAAAAUCUGUAACCCAAUCAUCUUUCUAAACUGAUCGGAUAGCCUUUUUACUGAAAUUCCGCUCCGAUUUGAUCGUCGUUGCUUUUUUGUUUGCACUGCACAAUUAGUUUUAGAAAUCGCUUUGGUGGCUCCUCAUCACGCACCGCACCUCACCUCACCUGUUUGAUUUAAUGCCUGUUUGAUUUUUUUUUAUCACUAUUUCGGCUGUUGGGAAUUGAGAUGGAUUCAUUCUGAUUCAGCAUUACACACAGUCAGCUUGAAGUUAUAUUGUCUGCAAAUUGAGAGAUUCUGGGAUGAGCACCCUGGGCAUGAUGUUCCGUUGAUGAAACCGAUGUUCUAUAACGGGCCUUGGAGAGUUAUGAGAGGCGAUGUUCCCGCAUUCAUCAAGAAAUAGCCAGCAACAGGUUAGUCGUUGCUACUCAGUUUCUUCACUCUACAGGCCUAACAAGGAACUGCAGCAAUGUUUGCUCUUGUGAUGCUUAGUCAAGGAUAACUGCAAACAGAUUAUGGUCAUUUACUAGAUAAUACGAAUAAUCUUGUAUGACGAUGAAUUGAUGAUCCCCAACUUUGGUUGCUCCCUGUUACUCAUUUAAUGUAUGAUGCCGUGUGAUUGAGCUUA
Long non-coding RNA from Salvia splendens (bonfire salvia), 767 nucleotides. RefSeq lists it as uncharacterized. The transcript has 2 exons. Lineage: Eukaryota; Viridiplantae; Streptophyta; Magnoliopsida; Lamiales; Lamiaceae. The record is from RefSeq and is a predicted model, not a curated record.